AGUGAAGAAGGCCUUCGGGUUGUAAAGCUCUUUCAGCUGGAACGAAACGGUGUGCUCUAACAUACCAGGCGCUAAUGACGGUACCCGCAGAAUAAGCACCGGCUAACUACGUGCCAGCAGCCGCGGUAAUACGUAGGGUGCAAGCGUUAAUCGGAAUUACUGGGCGUAAAGCGUGCGCAGGCGGCUAUGUAAGACAGGUGUGAAAUCCCCGGGCUUAACCUGGGAAGUGCACUUGUGACUGCAUGGCUAGAGUGUGUCAGAGGGAGGUGGAAUUCCGCGUGUAGCAGUGAAAUGCGUAGAGAUGCGGAGGAACACCGAUGGCGAAGGCAGCCUCCUGGGAUAACACUGACGCUCAGGCACGAAAGCGUGGGGAGCAAACAGGAUUAGAUACCCUGGUAGUCCACGCCCUAAACGAUGUCAACUAGUUGUCGGGGAUUCGUUUCCUUGGUAACGCAGCUAACGCGUGAAGUUGACCGCCUGGGGAGUACGGCCGCAAGGUUA
This 501-nucleotide ribosomal RNA is filed under the name uncultured Pseudomonadota bacterium. Its description in RNAcentral is "bacterial SSU rRNA". It matches the Rfam family "Bacterial small subunit ribosomal RNA", at positions 404 to 896 of the family's 1533-position model. The record is from RNAcentral. Lineage: Bacteria; Pseudomonadati; Pseudomonadota.